Non-coding RNA from Coturnix japonica (Japanese quail), 6519 nucleotides. NCBI's taxonomy places the organism in Eukaryota, Metazoa, Chordata, Aves, Galliformes, Phasianidae. The record is from RefSeq and is a predicted model, not a curated record.
AGCCCUGCUGCUGGGCGGGGCGGGGCGGGGCGGCAGUGGAUCCAGGGCGGCACUGGAUCCAGGGCACGGCCCUUCGCCGCUCUUCGCGCCCGCUGUCCCGCCCAGACGCCGCCGGCCGAAGCGCCCUGAGGCGGAGCAGGUGCGGGGCUGCGCCGCCAUGUUGCGGGCAGGAGGGACGGGGCCGCGUCCUGAGGGAGCGGAACGAGCCCUCCCGCCCCGGUAGCCGCAGCCGGUCCGCAGGCACCAGCUCCAUCCCGCCGGGUGUGUUCUUGCCCGGUGUUCUCGCUCGAUGUCCCAGCAGACAGAGCCGUGGAGGGCACGAUAUAUGUGGUUGAAAGGCAUCAUAAUUCUGGAAGGGGCCUCAAGCUGAUACAACUGAAAGCUGCCACAGAAGAGUUUAUAUCCCUGCCUUCUCCUAAAAUAUGUUCAACAGGAGUUGAACCACUUCGGCUGUUGGCAUUGUGAAAGAAAGGAGAGAAAAUGUUGUAGUCUCCAGCCAUCACCAUCCCCCUGACUGCUGCAGUAACCUGGAGGUUGUUCGGUACUGACUUCCUUCUCCUUUGGCCUGUCAGAGUAUGAUCUUCACGCUAGCCAGAAAUCUGUGGACCAUAACAUGGGUGUCUUUACAAUCACAGCAACAAAAGAGCAGAGGUGUCACAAACAAAGGAAGGUCCAUGCAGUAGUCACUGAGUGUGUCAAGUUCCCUGAGUUGUGGAAGAAUGGGGCUGGAAGUCACCAGAAUGUUUGCGGAAAUGCUAUAAGCCCUGAGAAGUCGCAGAAGGAUGCUCUGGGUCUGUGGCAGUCUGGCUGAAGCUCAGAACAAAAUUCAAGGGAGUCCAGCAUUGCACACAGAGUUUCUUCUGCUGUAUUAAUUGAGAGAGAGAGAAGGCAGAGGACUUAAACUGUGUUACUCAAAGACCUGUGAAAAGUCUGAGAGUGAGCUGGCACCCAACAGUGAAACCCCUGAAACGUUCCUAGUGAAAACUGCACCCAGCUCAUCACUUCAUUAUACCUGAAAAACAGUGAAGCUUCUGUGAAGUGAAGACUAUGCGAAACACAGGGCUAUAAUUCUGUAGCCUUUAGAGGUACUAUCUGAAACUUCACUAGUGGUGAUCUGUAAUGUGGUAUGCAGAAUUGAUAGUGGGAAUCUGAACCUGAUCCAGCCUUCAGUGUUGCUACUCUGUUAACACAGUUACAUGAUCACGGAAUCACAGAAUUGUAGGGAUUGGAAGAGACCUCCAGAGAUCAUCAAAUGAGAAAUACCAGUUUUGAAUUUGUCCUUCUGCACCCCUUUGAUUCACUGCACACUGGACUCCAAAAGGAACAGUACAGGAUUUUGUUUCUGCUUCUUUCAUCACACAGUUUAUCCUGCCAUACUUUACCACCCUGCAACUAGAAAGUCUGAACAUGGAUGACAAAUGCAAGGCUAUAGAAUCCUUGUGCGCUUGAUACAGUCUGGAUGGUGGGUUUACUUCAAACCUUGGAUGUGAAUUUAUUAGUACAGACUUGGAAGAAGUGAAGGAGAUCCAGAAUAAAGCAAAAGCCACCAACUGGGAGAGAAAGUUUCACCAACAUUCUUUUAAAGACAUCCUCUUUCUAUUCUUGUGCUUUGUUAUGUGCUCUUGCUUCUUUAUUAGUUCCUUCUACCUCACCGAUAGAAAGGACGUAAGCGGCUCUCAGUGCAAGAAUUAGAGUGCAAGGAAGUGCUGCUGAAGACAUAGGUUGAAUCUGUGCUCCUAACAAUGUCAGCCUUUGGAAGUAAGACAUGCUUCUUGAAAAGCUGCCUCUUGGCAUUUUUGUUUUUAGUUUUAAUUAGAGAUAUCAGAAAUACAUUACCUACACUAAGAAGAGCAGCAAGGGUGAUGUAACCUGUAGGAGAGGUUUCGGAGAGUUCCAUUAGUCCUUCUGUGGUCAGAUUCAUUGGCUCCAGCUUUCAUAGUUUCAGGACCUUUCUCCCUGAUGGAAUUUCCUGUAGUUGAGGCAGGAAGAAACGAGCUUAUUUUGGAGGGGCAAAGUUAUUCUGUGAACAGUGAGGAUCCGCACACCUCAUAUUAUUGUCUCUGCAGAGGUGGAGGGCUAAAUUAGACUGGCACAAUUGUACAGUUUAAUCACAAAACCACACCAUAAGAUAUAUAUUAAAAUGGCCUUUUAUGGGUUUUUUUUCCCUUUCCUUCCUUUUUUUUAUUUAUUUUUUUCCCUCUGCAAUAUCCCUGAACCAUUUUCUGUGAGCUAGAGUUUUUGCAAAUAUUUCCCUGCUUUAAAAUGAUCCAGAAGCAUCUUUAAGACUUUGACAGAGCUGUUGCCUCUUCUCCUUAAUGGCUUGAAAUAUUGUCAGAAGAAGGAAGAGCACAGCAGUACCAUGCAAGCCAACAGGCCUCGGCUCUGCUGUUUGGGCAAUGCUGCUGAGAACUCUACUGACAAUUUUCACAUACCUCAAAAAACAGCGCUAGGAUUUGUUAUAGGAAGCACCUGAGCAUCUCCUGAGACCAAGGUUACCUCCUGAAAGGAAUGGAGGUGCAAUAACAUGUUUUAAGCCACAUAGCAGAAAUAACAGGCCUGAGUACGACCAGUGUCUUCAUUUCUGGCUCAUUCAGCCUCUUGCUGAUGUGACUUCUUCACAGCACCUGCAGGUCUAGAAACAAGGGUACAAGAUCACAGGGAGAGGCAUAAAUGCAACAAAACCCGCUAAAUUUGGUUUCCACAUACCUGUCAUGCUCCUUAGGACCUUGCUUGUGCCUUGGAAUGUUCAGCAAGAGAGUUCUGUGGGUAACAUUACAGCUUUAUAGAGAGCAAUCUAAUUAUUUUAGUCUGAAAUAUCUCUUCAUAUGUUUAGGAAGAAGCCAAAUAAGGGAGAACAGAAGAAGUUCAAAGGAACAUGAAAUGUAUCUGUCAUCUCUGUCAGUUUUCUUCAUGAAAAGAAGCUGUGAGAACUACACACUCUACAUGUUUGACAUUAGUUCACUUCACGGGACUGCGGGGAGUAUGUGUUUGUAGGGCUAUAUUCGCACAAGAUCUGCCUCACACAGACUGCUGAUUUAGAUGUCUAAUUUAGAAGCACAGGCUCCCUCUGUAGUCACUGGAGCCUAAAUUAACAGCUUGGAAUUACCCCUGAAAGGACCCACCUUUCUCUACUGAGUACAGAGCGACCCAAGGCUCCUAAUUCAGGCACACAGGUCCCACAUUAGGGAGGGCCCGGUGUGUUAGCCUUGUACAAACCAUACCCUGUUCAAACCCUGCACGCGUCUAAUUUGCUGAGCAGGGCAAAGACCUCAUAGCGCAGACCUUGCUGUGAACCUGUAUCACUGAGCAAGGAGGAGAGGGUGUUUGCCACAGGUUGCCAGAUCACAGCCUUGUCAGGGCAAGGGAAGCUUUGGUCAGCCUAGAAGUCAGGAAGCUUUCAGAGGAGCAAAUUGCUGGAGUGCACUGGGGUGACCGGCAGGGAGCAGCGCAGCUUUUGGGGAGAGGGGUGCAUAUCCUCUGCAGGGCCCUGCUGGACGUGCCCUGCUCCAGAGGGUCAUCAUGGCUGCGGCACACCUUCUCACCUCUCCUUGAGGGUGAGGGAAGACGUGGAGAUGAUUAACUUGGGGACUGCAAACCCCUGGUUUCUACAUCCACCUCUGCCAAGGGCUCUUCCUGCUACCCUGCGCAAGUUGCAGGGCUCUUGCUCAACCUCCACCUCUUGGGAGGAGAAUUACUUUAUUUACAGGAGGUGAUGUCACAACAGUGUUGUGAGGGGAUGUGACUCAAUGUUUGUAUAACGCUUUGAAGACGAAGAGUGCUAAGUAUUGUUAUUUGAGAUGGCAACAAAAUAAAAUAUCUUCGGUGCGGCUAUUCAAGCCAAAUCCAUUUUCAGUUAAUCUUCCAAGCAGCAAUUCAGAAUCAAAGUAAAAAGCUCUGCCAACUGGAACUUUACAGCUCAAUGGGAAAGUAUGAAAGAGAAUUAAUUGGGUUUUAAACAGUUGUAACUGUAUUGUGAUGCAGCAUGAUCUGGAGCGCUCGGCUGCCGCUGGUUGCCAACUGGUUUGGAACUGAGAUUGCUCAAGGGAAUCUUUUUUGCAGGAAAGAAAAAUAGUUGGGCCAUCAUGCGCAGCGUGCUCCACAGACUGACAGGAACUGCCUCUGUGCUCUCUAUGAAAACAUGCGCUUUUUCCACUUUGUGCUGCUGGGUUUUUUUUUCAGCAAUGCAAAAACAGUGGAAGAUGUGGAAAGAGACAGAACUGCCCACCACCAGCACAGGGCACCUCGUGGGCAUUGUGUCCCCUCCCGGAAAGGAGGGAUGGCAAGACAUGAUGGCAAAGCCUGUUACAAGUACCUGUUCAAAGCAAGUUCUCCAUAAAAUAGGCGUACCGGCACACUGGCUUCCUGGGAGCAUUGCUAAAUCCAGAUCACUUGCAGAUGGCUUUUAAGCUCUGUACUGAAAUUAGCAGAGUUCCACAACUGUUAACUACCAGAGAUUUGCUUCUUAUAAGGAAAAGUCUGUGUGCAUUGGCUUCACGUUUUUUUACCUGAUGUUCAAAGGGGCUGGAACAUGGCUCUCAGCUUCUUCUGUUUGGUGGGGUUUGUCAAUGUGAAGUGCCCUUAGCACUUACUUAAUAGCUUACUUACAGUGAGCUAUUUACUGCUUUCCCUCUUUCAGUGAAUGCGGUGUUUUGUAGUUAAGCCAUAUGGUUUGGGUUUUCCUGUUUUGUCCUCAAAUCCCUUUUUUUGUUUGUUUGUUUGUUUGUUUUGUUUUCUUAAUACUUUUGAAGUUACUUGGUCCUAAAAUUUGACUCUUUGUAAACAUUUCAGCACUUUAAUUCGCCUUAAGUUUUACGUUUUAAUAUUCCAGUUCCAAAAGAGUUUUAUGAGCAAAUAAAAAAAAAAGAUGAUGGCCCUGGAAGCAUUUCUUUUCAAUAUCUUUUACUUCUGCUAAGCUAUAUACACAAGAAGCUGCCUUAUAAACAGCUUUAUAUUGCACUCUAUUGCCAACCAUUGGAAAAACAUGCUGUAAUGGGCUGCAAAUGGCAUAGUGUUAUGCAGCCAGAAUGAAGGAGAUCAUUGGAAAGAUAUCAUAUUGAUAAAAGCAGGCACAGAGAGGAUAACUUUGAGUCUGAAGCUUCUGUAUCACAAGUAAUAGAACAAAGGAAAAAAAUUACAGAUAUUUGUUUCUACUCAGAAACAACCUGAGCCAACAGCACUUUGCUUGCUGAAAUGUUUUCUCUCUCAUACUCCAAGCAAAAUGUGUAUUUCCUUCAGAGCCAUGUUUGCUGCUGUUUCUUUGCGUGAAUCAUUUUUCUCACCUUUAGAAAGCGGAUUCUCUCCCAGAAUGCAUUAAUUAGCUGUCAGAGGAAAGCAAAGGUCAUACAUCCAAACCGAGCGGACAGAGCGGUCCCGAAACACCCACAGCAAACAUUCGUUACUCCAGGUCUGGCAACGUUAAAAAUGCUGCUCAGGACUGAUAGAUUUUUUACCCCCUUCAUAGAGAAAAAAACACCUAUGUAAUCACUCAGAUGCUUAUGCUUUACUGUCAAGUGCAAAAGUAACACAGCAAUUUAAAAUCAUGUCAUGGAAACUCUAUGCCCAGCAAGCACUGGACCAACUUUUCAGUGUCAGCUCCCUGGUGAUCUGAUGCUGAGCACGGAGUGCUCGUCCCAGAGGGCUGAUCCUGCAGGCUGCUCAUGCUCUGAACUUCCUUGCUUCACUGCUGAACCCAUUGGAGCCCACUUUGCAGGUGGAAGCUUUCUCAGAGUGCUGUGAGGCUUUCAGAGAAGGAGCAGAAGAUGAGAGGGGCAAUAGCUGCAGUCUUGCUGGGGUGGAUCAACUGCAUUCUGCCUUUGCUCUUCUUCUCUGUUGUGCUGAUUUACGUAUGCAUAUGCAUAUCCAUCCUCUCUCAAACACAUACCAACACUGCCUUGGCUUUAUGGCCACCAUUUAUAACUGACCAGAGCCCUGUGUGUUUCCAGACAGGCUGGAGAAAGGAGCAUGGAGCAUGCUGGCAGCAGUAGCUACAGCGGGCAGGGCACUCUGGGGCUCUCCUGCCUGUCCUGUGCACAGAGCACACAAGGCAGCAGGCUCAGGGUGGGUGGCAAAACUAAAAAUCACAGACCCGUGAGGACAUACACAUCUUUUCCAACUGUUGCCUCGGCAGUCUUGGCUUUCCAAGUGCUUUCUGGAGCACAUCCAGAAGCUGAGGAGACCUGGUCCCACAUGGGGCAGCUUCUGACGUCCAUUGCACAGAGACUUACCCCAUAAAACUCCGCCUGAAAAGUUCAGUCAGCAAAUAAAGCACCAUUAACCGGGGGACACAUGUGGCUCCUUUGUGUUUGCAUCGGAGGUGUCAGCUGUGUUUAAUUACAGUUUAAUUAAGGCAAGGCACACUGAUGUGUGCAGUUUUAUUUCAGCUUCUUUCCUCCUUGCAAACCUGAUGGUGAUGCAAGCCUGAAAAAGCCAGUAGUGCUUCUGCCAGUGGUCGUUGGCAGAGAUCCCUGUGUAGAUGCUGUGGAUUUAUAGAACAAAUCGGUCCUACAGAAAUCAAGCUUC